RNAcentral lists this ribosomal RNA (24 nucleotides) under Pantoea ananatis. RNAcentral's name for it is "partial 16S ribosomal RNA". The record is from RNAcentral. RNAcentral also lists the same sequence under 1 other name. Lineage: Bacteria; Pseudomonadati; Pseudomonadota; Gammaproteobacteria; Enterobacterales; Erwiniaceae.
GCAACAGACACGGGUAGUUUCACG